CCUACGGGUGGCAGCAGUGGGGAAUAUUGCACAAUGGGGGAAACCCUGAUGCAGCGACGCCGCGUGAGUGAAGAAGUAUUUCGGUAUGUAAAGCUCUAUCAGCAGGGAAGAAGAAAGACGGUACCUGACUAAGAAGCCCCGGCUAACUACGUGCCAGCAGCCGCGGUAAUACGUAGGGGGCAAGCGUUAUCCGGAUUUACUGGGUGUAAAGGGAGCGUAGACGGCUGUGCAAGUCUGAAGUGAAAGCCCAGGGCUCAAACCUGGGACUGCUUUGGAAACUGUUGAGCUAGAGGGCUGGAGAGGUAAGGGGAAUUUCUAGGGUAGCCGUGAAAUGCGUAGAUAAUAGGAGGAACACCAGGUGCGAAGGCGGCUUACUGGACCGUAACUUACGUUGAGGCCCGAAAGCGUGGGGAGCAAACCGGAUUAGAUACCCCAGUAGUC
Molecule: ribosomal RNA, 441 nt
Filed under: uncultured bacterium
Lineage: Bacteria
Description: partial 16S ribosomal RNA
Rfam family: Bacterial small subunit ribosomal RNA
Source: RNAcentral